Molecule: long non-coding RNA, 1507 nt
Filed under: Cyanistes caeruleus (blue tit)
Lineage: Eukaryota; Metazoa; Chordata; Aves; Passeriformes; Paridae
Description: lncRNA (ENSCCEG00000019466.1)
Source: RNAcentral
CUUGUCACCGCACAUGAAUAGUGCAAGUGAUAAUAGUUACCAUUACUGCCUACUCAUUUGGCAGCCUGUUUUGUUCAGUUAAAACAAUUCCAAUUAUUAGCAGCACGAUAAAAUUGUCUGCUGAGUGCCUUCCCUCCUGCUUUACAUGGUUGACUCAGGAACUACUGGCAGGACUCAGUCUGUGCCUUGCCAACACCUUCAACCUAAACCUUUGCCUUCUGAGAGAACAGAAAGAACAGACCUGUUUGUUUCUGGUCUAGGAAUGGUCUCUUCUCCUACCUCAGGCAAGUUCAUCUCUAAUUACCCAAAACUAUCAAUCUCCAUUUCUAAAUACUUCUAUGUCAAUUACCCUCAGCAAACUGUUCUCCAAACCCAACCUCAUUGUACUGAAGGCUGGAUAUGUUCUUCUAACUUCAUGUUGUGUUUGCUCUCAUGGCAAUAUUACCCUUCAGCUAAAAUAUUAUUUUCCCUUUUCUGUUUUUUGCUUCAACUGUAAGUUUUUUGACAUAUUCCUUCUCUGCCAAAGCUCUUACUUUGGCAAACUCAGUCAUUCAUCAACCUCUUUGCAGUUGUAUGGUCACUUAAGAAUGGAUUGACACAACAGAACUGCUGCUAUUUUGCAUCCUCUUCUUUCAGAAUUCUGCUGUGGUGAUUGUUUGGUCCAAAAGACUAAAUAAGCUCCUUAACAAUUUUCCUAACCUGAUUCCCCUUAGCCAUUCUGUCUCUUGUUCUAUGUUCCACAUCAUCUCCUCUGACUGAAACGAGGCACAGAUUAUCUACCCAGUUUUUGGACUGUACCCAGAUUAUCUUUAAUCUCUGUCCUCCCUGCAUAGUAACUCCAUCCUCCUCCCAGUUUACUUUAAUAUCCUUUGCCAAGUCUAAUUUUCACCUUAAGUCUGCAUUUGUUAAUUUCUAACACACAGCUUAAUUUGAUGCUCAGAACUUUUCUUGUUGGUUCUUCAUACCUAACAUCUGUUUUCGUUGCCACUGUUCAUCCUACUGGGCAAGCCUAUUUACACAUUUAAAAGAGCAAUCAGAGAUUCAAACAAUGCAAAAGCACAUUUCCUAAAUGUGAUACUGCACUGUGCUUCACAGCUUCCAGGUCAGGUUAUUCUAGCAGCUUGUUUUUGUUGUCCUAAAGAAAACUCUCAUUAGACAGAUGCAACAUUCCCUUGCUUACUUAGCAUUGCUUAGUAUGUACCAUUUUCUAUGUGCCUUUCAAGCUAUAUUCUGGGUGAAAUACCCAUUUGUGUUCUAUAAAGAUUUAUGUGGCCUUAUGUAGCUUCUAUAUUCACUCCUAAAUGAUGAUGAAAUGAAAUUUUUCUAUUUACUCCAUGGAUGACAUUUAUGGACUGAGCAAAAAUGAAUGUGAACUACUCCGGUAAUUCAGAAGAAAAACACAACAGUAGUGUUGGUUUCCUCAUGGUAGACAUAAUUUUUGAUAAGGUGGUGUAAAAUGAACACUAACCAGAAUUUCAGCAAUAAAUAAACUUUUACAACAAGGACA